UGCAGGUCGACGAUUAGAGUUUGAUCCUGGCUCAGAUUGAACGCUGGCGGCAGGCCUAACACAUGCAAGUCGAGCGGAAACGAGUUAUCUGAACCUUCGGGGAACGAUAACGGCGUCGAGCGGCGGACGGGUGAGUAAUGCCUGGGAAAUUGCCCUGAUGUGGGGGAUAACCAUUGGAAACGAUGGCUAAUACCGCAUAAUGCCUUCGGGCCAAAGAGGGGGACCUUCGGGCCUCUCGCGUCAGGAUAUGCCCAGGUGGGAUUAGCUAGUUGGUGAGGUAAUGGCUCACCAAGGCGACGAUCCCUAGCUGGUCUGAGAGGAUGAUCAGCCACACUGGAACUGAGACACGGUCCAGACUCCUACGGGAGGCAGCAGUGGGGAAUAUUGCACAAUGGGCGCAAGCCUGAUGCAGCCAUGCCGCGUGUAUGAAGAAGGCCUUCGGGUUGUAAAGUACUUUCAGUCGUGAGGAAGGUUCAUGCGUUAAUAGCGUAUGGAUUUGACGUUAGCGACAGAAGAAGCACCGGCUAACUCCGUGCCAGCAGCCGCGGUAAUACGGAGGGUGCGAGCGUUAAUCGGAAUUACUGGGCGUAAAGCGCAUGCAGGUGGUUCGUUAAGUCAGAUGUGAAAGCCCGGGGCUCAACCUCGGAAUAGCAUUUGAAACUGGCGGACUAGAGUACUGUAGAGGGGGGUAGAAUUUCAGGUGUAGCGGUGAAAUGCGUAGAGAUCUGAAGGAAUACCGGUGGCGAAGGCGGCCCCCUGGACAGAUACUGACACUCAGAUGCGAAAGCGUGGGGAGCAAACAGGAUUAGAUACCCUGGUAGUCCACGCCGUAAACGAUGUCUACUUGGAGGUUGUGGCCUUGAGCCGUGGCUUUCGGAGCUAACGCGUUAAGUAGACCGCCUGGGGAGUACGGUCGCAAGAUUAAAACUCAAAUGAAUUGACGGGGGCCCGCACAAGCGGUGGAGCAUGUGGU
RNAcentral lists this ribosomal RNA (973 nucleotides) under uncultured Vibrio sp. RNAcentral's name for it is "bacterial SSU rRNA". It matches the Rfam family "Bacterial small subunit ribosomal RNA", at positions 1 to 945 of the family's 1533-position model. Lineage: Bacteria; Pseudomonadati; Pseudomonadota; Gammaproteobacteria; Vibrionales; Vibrionaceae. The record is from RNAcentral.